CCUCAACAGGAGAGGAAUGAAGGACAACAGCACAGGAACACAUCCAGCCAUAAGGCGGGAGCUGGAUAACCUGCAGAAAACCCACACCGACAUGUGAGAACAUGCAAACCGCACACAGAGGAGCCCAGAUGUUCUUGCUGAGAGGCGACAGUCUUGACCACACAAACAGUGAUGUUCCUGUGAGCUGCAGUAGUUUCCACAAAGCGACCAGCUGUCCACAUCUGGAUAGCUGCAAUGACGAC
Molecule: long non-coding RNA, 242 nt
Organism: Plectropomus leopardus (leopard coralgrouper)
Lineage: Eukaryota; Metazoa; Chordata; Actinopteri; Perciformes; Serranidae
Source: RefSeq, a predicted model, not a curated record